CGCCUCUUGUUUACUAUAAGAGGUCUAGCCUGCCCAGUGACUCAUUUCAACGGCCGCGGUAUCCUAACCGUGCGAAGGUAGCGUAAUCACUUGUUCUUUAAAUGAGGACUAGUAUGAAUGGCAUCACGAGGGUUAUACUGUCUCCCCUUUCUAAUCAGUGAAACUAAUCUUCCCGUGAAGAAGCGGGAAUAACUAUAUAAGACGAGAAGACCCUAUGGAGCUUUAAACUUAGCUACAAUUGUUCUUUCUAUUUUUUACUCCAGAGCAAUAAAUCUUAUUUUAACAUUUUGAUUGCUAGUUUUCGGUUGGGGUGACCGCGGAACAUAAAAUAACCUCCACGAUGAAAGAAAUUCCAUUUCUUAACCCAGAAUUACGACUCUAAGUAUCAAAAAUUUGACAUUCAUUGACCCAAUAUAUUGAUCAACGAACCAAGUUACCCUAGGGAUAACAGCGCAAUCCACUUCAAGAGCCCCUAUCGACAAGUGGGUUUACGACCUCGAUGUUGGAUCAGGGUAUCCUAGUGGUGCAGCCGCUACUAAAGGUUCGUUUGUUCAACGAUUAAAACCCU
This 568-nucleotide ribosomal RNA is filed under the name Physalaemus riograndensis (Rio Grande dwarf frog). RNAcentral describes it as "partial large subunit ribosomal RNA". It matches the Rfam family "Bacterial large subunit ribosomal RNA", at positions 1831 to 2597 of the family's 2925-position model. The record is from RNAcentral. Lineage: Eukaryota; Metazoa; Chordata; Amphibia; Anura; Leptodactylidae.